UUAAAGUUUGAUCCUGGCUCAGGAUGAACGCUAGCGACAGGCCUAACACAUGCAAGUCGAGGGGUAACAGGGGCUUCGGCCCGCUGACGACCGGCGCACGGGUGAGUAACGCGUAUGCAACCUGCCUGUAACAGCGGGAUAGCUCCCUGAAAGGGGAAUUAACACCGCAUAAGACCACGCUCUCGCAUGGGGACGGGGUAAAAUAUUUAUAGGUUACAGAUGGGCAUGCGUGACAUUAGUUAGUUGGUGAGGUAACGGCUCACCAAGACUGCGAUGUCUAGGGGUUCUGAGAGGAAGGUCCCCCACACUGGAACUGAGACACGGUCCAGACUCCUACGGGAGGCAGCAGUGAGGAAUAUUGGUCAAUGGACGCAAGUCUGAACCAGCCAUGUCGCGUGCAGGAUGACUGCCCUAUGGGUUGUAAACUGCUUUUAUAUUGGAAGAAUUGCGCUUACGAGUUAAGCGUUUGACGGUACAUUAUGAAUAAGGAUCGGCUAACUCCGUGCCAGCAGCCGCGGUAAUACGGAGGAUCCGAGCGUUAUCCGGAUUUAUUGGGUUUAAAGGGUGCGUAGGCGGAAAUGUAAGUCAGUGGUGAAAUCCUGCAGCUUAACUGUAGAAUAGCCGUUGAAACUGUGUUUCUUGAGUACAUUUGAGGUAGGCGGAAUGUGGUGUGUAGCGGUGAAAUGCAUAGAUAUACCACAGAACACCGAUUGCGAAGGCAGCUUACUAAACUGUCACUGACGCUGAUGCACGAAAGCGUGGGUAUCAAACAGGAUUAGAUACCCUGGUAGUCCUAGCCGUAAACGAUGGGUACUAGGUGUAAGAAGGUUCGAUUCUUUCUGUGCCGGCAGUUAAAGCAAUAAGUACCCCGGCCUGGGAGGACGUGCCGCAAGCAUGAACUUCAAAGGAAUUGACGGGGGGCCCGCACAAGCGGUGGGAGCAUGUGGUUUAAUUUGAAAGCAACGCGAAGAACCUUACCGGGUCUUGACAUCCCCUGAUAAUCUCAGAGAUGAGACAUCUCUUCGGAGCAAGGAGACAGGUGGUGCAUGGUUGUCGUCAGCUCGUGUCGUGAGAUGUUGGGUUAAGUCCCGCAACGAGCGCAACCCUUGCCUUUAGUUGCCAUCCUUAAGUUGGGCACUCUAAAGGGACUGCCGGUGACAAACCGGAGGAAGGUGGGGAUGACGUCAAAUCAUCAUGCCCCUUAUGUCCUGGGCUACACACGUGCUACAAUGGUCUGUACAGAGGGAAGCGAAGCAGCGAUGUGUAGCGAAUCCCAGAAAACAGAUCUCAGUUCGGAUUGCAGGCUGAAACCCGCCUGCAUGAAGUUGGAAUCGCUAGUAAUCGCAGGUCAGCAUACUGCGGUGAAUACGUUCCCGGGCCUUGUACACACCGCCCGUCAAG
RNAcentral lists this ribosomal RNA (1401 nucleotides) under uncultured bacterium. Its description in RNAcentral is "bacterial SSU rRNA". It matches the Rfam family "Bacterial small subunit ribosomal RNA". The record is from RNAcentral.